RNAcentral lists this unclassified non-coding RNA (336 nucleotides) under soil metagenome. Its description in RNAcentral is "partial contains 5.8S ribosomal RNA, internal transcribed spacer 2, and large subunit ribosomal RNA". The stretch from base 1 to 120 matches the Rfam family "5.8S ribosomal RNA", at positions 35 to 154 of the family's 154-position model. The record is from RNAcentral.
GAUGAAGAACGUAGCGAAAUGCGAUAAGUAAUGUGAAUUGCAGAAUUCAGUGAAUCAUCGAAUCUUUGAACGCACAUUGCGCCCGCCAGUAUUCUGGCGGGUAUGCCUGUUCGAGCGUCAUUUCAACCAUCAAGCCCCCGGCUUGUGUUGGGGACCUGCGGCUGCCGCAGGCCCUGAAAAGCAGUGGCGGGCUCGCUGUCACACCGAGCGUAGUAGAUUUCAUCUCGCUCAGGGCGUGCUGCGGGUUCCGGCCGUUAAACCACCUUCAUAACCCAAGGUUGACCUCGGAUCAGGUAGGAAGACCCGCUGAACUUAAGCAUAUCAAUAAGCGGAGGA